Molecule: ribosomal RNA, 431 nt
Filed under: uncultured bacterium
Lineage: Bacteria
Description: partial 16S ribosomal RNA
Rfam family: Bacterial small subunit ribosomal RNA
Source: RNAcentral
AACGAACGCUGGCGGCAGGCUUAACACAUGCAAGUCGAACGCCCCGCCAGGGGUGUGGCGGACCGGUGCGUACCGACUGGUGACAUACCCUUUUCUACGGAGUACUUUUGGGAGACUUGAACCAAUACCGUAUACGCCCUUAGGGGGUAAGACUUAUCGGGGAAGGCUUGGCCCGCGUUCGAUUAGGUGGUUGGUGGGGUAAAGGCCUCACAAGGCGACGAUCCAUAUCUGGUCUGAGAGGAUGAUCAGCGACAUUGGGACUGGGACACGGCCCAAACUCCUGCAGGAAGGGGCAGUGGGGAACAAUGGACAAUAGGCGGAAGCAUGAUCGCCCCAUGCGGCGUGAGUGAUGAAGGGCUGAAGGUUGUAUAGGCCUUUGACCGAGGCAUAUAAUGACGGUAGUUGGAGAAGAAGCACCGGCUAACUUCGUG